Molecule: ribosomal RNA, 425 nt
Filed under: uncultured Phycisphaerae bacterium
Lineage: Bacteria; Pseudomonadati; Planctomycetota; Phycisphaerae
Description: bacterial SSU rRNA
Rfam family: Bacterial small subunit ribosomal RNA
Source: RNAcentral
CCUUACCGGGGUUUGACAUGCAGGUGAUCGCCGUUGGAAAGACCGGGUUUUCCCGUCUUCCGGAGGCACCUGCACAGGUGCUGCAUGGCUGUCGUCAGCUCGUGUCGUGAGAUGUCGGGUUAAGUCCUCUAACGAGCGAAACCCUUGCCGUUAGUUACCAGCGGGUCAUGCCGGGAACUCUAACGGGACUGCCGGUGUUAAACCGGAGGAAGGUGGGGAUGACGUCAAGUCAUCAUGGCCUUUAUGCCCAGGGCAUCACACGUGCUACAAUGGCCGGUACAAAGCGACGCAAGACCGCGAGGUGGAGCCAAUCGCAAAAAACCGGCCCCAGUUCGGAUUGCAGGCUGGCAACUCGCCUGCAUGAAGUUGGAAUCGCUAGUAAUCGUGAAUCAGCUAUGUCACGGUGAAUGUCGUUCCUGAGCCUU